UAUUGCACUCGUCCCGGUCUAU
This 22-nucleotide microRNA is filed under the name Ciona intestinalis (vase tunicate). RNAcentral's name for it is "cin-miR-92c-3p". Its record names the gene cin-miR-92c-3p. Lineage: Eukaryota; Metazoa; Chordata; Ascidiacea; Phlebobranchia; Cionidae. The record is from miRBase by way of RNAcentral.